AUUUAAUAUUCUCUCAUUGGAGUGGAUCUCUUGUCUCAACAAAUUUCGCUUGGAACUGAAAACUUGCCUGGCUCAUGAACUUGGCCAAUUCCACACGCUUGGUUCAAAAAUUCGAUUUUAAGCUUAUUUCCUUGUUGAAAUCAUGCAAACAAACAUCUCAAAUCUCUCAAAUCCAUGCCUUUAUGGUCAAAAUUGGUAUCGAUCAUGGCCAUUUCGCUAUAAGCAAGCUUCUUGCAUCUUCAAUACAAGACGUUAAUUAUUCAGCCUCAAUCUUCAACCAUAUACAAAACCCAAAUCUCUUCAUGUUCAAUACCAUGCUCAGAGCCUAUUCUGUUUGUGAUGACCCAAAAAAAGCUUUUGUUGUUUUCGAUAACUUGAGGGCUGAAGGGAUCGCACUCGACCAGUUCUCUUUCAUUACAAUUCUUAAAGCUUGUGCUCGUGAACUGGCUGUUAAGACAGGUCAGGGGAUCCAUGGGAUUGUUAUGAGAUCUGGUCAUGUGAUGUUUAUUAAUGUAAAGAAUACACUCUUGCAUUUUUAUGGCGUUUCUUGCGGAAUUGGGGAUGCCCGUAAGUUGUUUGAAGAAUUUCCUCAAGAGAAUGAUUUGGUUUCUUGGAAUGCUUUGAUGGGUGCUUACCUCCGAGCAUCUCAGCCUGCUGAGACGAAAGAAUUGUUUAAGCAAAUGUUUAGUUGUGGUUUGAGGGUGAAUGCGGCCACAUUGUUGACUGUUUUGUCUGCUUUUGCUGAUUUAGGAGAUUUACUUGGAGGAGAGUCUGUUCAUGCGCGUUGCAUCAAGAUUGGCUUUUGUUCAAAACUAAAUGUGGUUACGGCUUUGAUUGAAAUGUACGCUAAAACAGGAGAUAUUGAUUCAGGACGUAGAAUUUUUGAUGCAGUUGUUGAAAAGGAUGUUGUUCUAUGGAAUUGUAUGAUAGACAAGUAUGCAAAAGCUGGGCUGCUAGAAAAAGCUAUGUCUUUAAUGCAGAUCAUGAAACUGGAAGGAGUGAAACCAAAUUCAUCUACAUUGGCAGGGCUGCUUGCGGCUUGUGCUGCCUCUGGAUCAAUAAAAUUAGGUCGGCGUCUCAGUUAUUAUGUGGAAGAGGAGGGAUUGGAAUUGGAUGCAGUUCUUGGGACUGCUUUGGUUGAUAUGUUUUCUAAAUGUGGGUUUUUGGACAAGGCUAUUCAAAUUUUUGAGAAGAUGGAAAGCAAAGAUGUAAAAUCUUGGACGGCCAUGAUUUUAGGUUAUGGAGUUCAUGGGCAAGCAAGAAAUGCUGUUGAUCUCUUCUACAGGAUGGAGGAGGAAGGAUUUAGACCCAAUGAAGUUACUUUCUUGGGAGUUUUAAGCGCUUGUAGCCACGGUGGAUUGGUGAUAGAAGCGAUGAAAUGUUUUGAGAGGAUGGUUCAAGUAUUUGGCUUUUUACCAAAGAUUGAGCACUAUGGAUGUAUGAUUGAUCUUUUAGGGCGUGCAGGCUUACUAGAGGAAGCGUAUGACCUGAUCAAAAGAUUGCCCAUUAGGAGCGAUGGCACUGCUUGGCGUGCAUUGCUUGCAGCUUGCCGAGUGUAUGGAAAUGUUGAACUAGGGGAACGUGUGAAAAUAAUGCUGGUUGAUAUAGAUGAUCAACACCCUACUGAUUCGAUUCUUCUUUCCAAUACUUACGCCAUUGUUGGAAGGGUGCCAGAUCGCAGCAAAUGGCAGGAAAUGGAAGUACACAGGAUAAAUGCAAACACCAGAAAUAGGCCAGUAGAGAGAAAAGAAAGGACAGGGAAGGAAGCUGGAUGCAGCGCAAUUGAAAUUGAUGGUUACUGGUUAGAAGGUGGCUGAGGGCUGCGACGAAAAGGUGCUCAGCGUCAUGGGGUACCAGACCCAGCGGAGGGCAGGCUCGGCCUUGAAUUGGACCGGGACCGGCUUGGGUCAAUGGUUCUGGGCCUUGAACCGGGGUUAGGGAGGCCGGUUAAAGGCCCCUUGAACCUAGUGCAUAAUCAGCCAGUUCAAAGUCAGCGAUUCUGAGCCGGAAUCGGCCCAAUUUAUUUUUUUUAAUUUAUAUUGAAUUUAUAUUUAUAUUUUUUUAAUUUUUUAAUUAGAAACUAAAUUAUUUAAUUUAUAAAUGAUGUCAAAAAAAUUUAUUGCAGUUUGAUAAUAUGAAGA
Molecule: unclassified non-coding RNA, 2141 nt
Filed under: Hevea brasiliensis (rubber tree)
Lineage: Eukaryota; Viridiplantae; Streptophyta; Magnoliopsida; Malpighiales; Euphorbiaceae
Source: RNAcentral